ACGUAGGGAGCGAGCGUUGUCCGGAUUCAUUGGGCGUAAAGCGCGCGUAGGCGGCCUCGCAAGUCGGUUGUGAAAUCCCGGGGCUCAACCCCGGGACUGCGUCCGAUACUGCGAGGCUGGAGGUAGGUAGGGGAGAUCGGAAUUCCUGGUGUAGCGGUGAAAUGCGCAGAUAUCAGGAGGAACACCGGUGGCGAAGGCGGAUCUCUGGGCCUUACCUGACGCUGAGGCGCGAAAGCUAGGGGAGCGAACAGGA
Molecule: ribosomal RNA, 253 nt
Filed under: uncultured prokaryote
Description: partial 16S ribosomal RNA
Rfam family: Bacterial small subunit ribosomal RNA
Source: RNAcentral